UCGCCUGCAGCACUUAUUGUAGGUACAGCCUGCCCAAUGAUUUUUAAUGGCCGCAGUAUACUGACUGUGCAAAGGUAGCAUAAUCACUUGUCUCCUAAUUAGAGGCUUGUAUGAAUGGCUAGACGUGGAAAUUACUGUCUCUAAUAAUACAUAAAACUUAAUUUUUAAGUCAAAAAGCUUAAAUAAAUUAGCAGGACGAGAAGACCCCAUAGAUCUUUAUAUUGAUACCUUUAAAAGCUAUAGCUGUCACCAUUUUAAAGAACAUAAAUAUUUUGUUGGGGUGAUAAGAAGUAACAAACACUUCACAUGCAAACGACUAUAGUAGAUUAAAUGACCCGGCCCGCCGAUUAAAAAAUUAAGUUACCUUGGGGAUAACAGCGUAAUCUGCCUUAAGAGUCCUUAUCAAAAGGCAGGGUUGCGACCUCGAUGUUGGAUUAAGAAUCUCUUCAUGAGCAGCCCCGUGAAAGAGGGGUCUGUUCGACCCAUAAAUUCUUACAUG
This 499-nucleotide ribosomal RNA is filed under the name Mystaxiops venatoris. RNAcentral's name for it is "partial 16S ribosomal RNA". It matches the Rfam family "Bacterial large subunit ribosomal RNA", at positions 1830 to 2602 of the family's 2925-position model. Lineage: Eukaryota; Metazoa; Arthropoda; Insecta; Ephemeroptera; Baetidae. The record is from RNAcentral.